CAACAAACUCCUAGGGUAGCCUCGGACCAGCACCUGAAUUCUUCAUCCAUGCCAGAGAGGCCCAGGACAGUGCUCCCAACCAUGAAGAGUAAGGCGCAAAAUGAGAAUACUGCGCAGUACAGCAUGAGAAACCAAGAGAAUUACUCAGCAAUUGGAAGUGACCCAGACCCAGGAGACUGACCAGCCCAUGCCACAUCUGUCCAGCCCAGGGGCCAAGGGAAUUGGAAUCCCACACUCCAGAACCAGUCAUGGUCUACCGGUGUGUUGCAGCAUGUUAUUGGCCGCCUCUGGCCUGGAAUUGUUCCAGCACAUAGAGGAUCCCCAUCAAAUAUUUUUUCCCUUAUGAAUGGAAUAAAAGGAAGAAGGUGAUCUCUUCUGGAAACUAAAGAUGGAAAGAGUUGGACGGGUUGGAAGGGGUGAGCAGAACGGGAGCCAUGAGCCAGUCAAGUGCAUCCCAGCUCUCACAGACUUCUCUUGCUGAAUCCAUACUGGACGCUCUUGGCCUAGCCAACACCUGCCCGCUGAGGGCCAGCUCCCAUCCAACCCGACCCACCUCCUCCAUGAAGCCUCUCUGACUGCUGACCUGAAGUCUUCUGUGCUUAACACCUAACUACCUCUGGUGGCCCCUUUUGUUUUAAGUAGCCUUCGUGCCUAGUGUGGAGCCCAAUGCAGGGUUUGAACUCACAACCCUGAGAUCAAGACCUGACCAGAGACCAAGAGUUGGACACCUAACUGACUGAAGCACCCAGGCACCCCUCAUGUGGCCCUUUUCAGAAGGCUGCCUUUUGACAUCUCUCUCCUAUUGUGAACAGCAGGCCAAAGCCCACAUGCUGUUUGUAGUUUGCCAGGCCUGUGUCUCAAGUCCCUGCCUCAUCCUCACCCUCCUUGAGGAAGAGGCCGCCUCGCCCUUCUGUGUUCACCCAGUGCACAGUGAGCACCUUCUGGCCAUGCAAAUUCUUUGGGACCUGCUUGGUGACUUGGAGUUGAGCUCUGCUGCCUGCAGGCACUGGGAGUGAGCCUGCCAUGGGGUAGGCAUGGGGCUAAGUGUGCUGGAUGGGGCCGGUAUGGAGCAGUGGAGACCAGAUGGUGAGAGAGCGCACUGAGAAGGAGAGAAAAGAAAGCCAUCAGACCGACAGCACCUGUUGUUGUUAGAGCAGUGUGAGGACCCACAUCCAACCAGCUGGCUGUCUCUGCUCCUUGCUCUUGUCACAACCUUCCAGAAGAGAUACGGACACUCAGAAUUGUCCCCAUUCUCCCUUCUCUUUGUUUCCAGUGCUGGUAGUGGUCAGUGUUUGGUGCAGAUAAAAUGAUACAGCGAUACUGCUGAUGGGGGCAAUUUAUCUUGCCCUUAACAUCCAAGAGAGUAAAGGAUAAGGAUCUGAUAGGCUAGUAGUAGGUUGAAAGGUGACCGUAAGCCUGUGAGUGAGGGUCACCAACACAUAAGCCCAUGUGGGUGCCCGAGCAAGAAGGUAAUGUUCAUGCCGUGGGUUCAGGAAGGACUCUCACGGACCUAAGAUGGGUUAGAAAUGCACUGCACUCCUGAGUCUGGUUCUGGGCUCCCACAGGGGACACUGGCACUUAGAGAGAGGUCAGAGGGUAGCCUCGAAGGUGAUGAGCAGGACGGGCAGCAGGGCCUGGGAGAAAAAGAGGCUGGGAUUAUUCAUCAGGGGAAGACAGGCAGGCAGGAUUUAACACAAUCUUCAGGUAUCAGAAGAGCUCUCAGGCAGUGCAGGCUAAGUCUUGGCAGUGGCUACUGAAGAUGGAACAAGGAAAGAAACUUAAUCCACAGCAUAAGGGAUUUAGGAUAGAAUUUCCUGAUGGUGAAGGUUGUUAAAAGUUGCAAUGAAUGGUCUAGAGAGAGAUUCUGGUCUACUCUGGAAGCUUUUACAAGUAGAAGAGAUUAUCCUCUGGCAGGGCAGCUUAUCUCUAAUCCUGCCUGAAGGCAGGGGAAUGGACACAAUGACCUCAGGGUCUCCUUCAGACUUGGAAAGCAGGUCUUCCCAUUGGCAGACCAGCCAACACUGCUAUGCAGGUGAUGCACUUCAAGGAAGGCCCAGAGUGUUCCCAGAAAUAAAGAGAAGCUGCCUGAUGUGAGAUCUUCUUUCCUUUUUCUUAUUUUUUAGCCACAGCUGCCUUGCAGCAAUGACCAAGUUCCUCUGUAAUCUCAGCUCUGAUCAAGGGCAAUUUAAACAAGAAAGCCAAAAGCAGCCACAGACCACACAGAGAUAGAUGACUCUCUGCUCUGCAAAGCACCCCAGACAACAGAGCCGUGGUUGUGGUCUUCUCCACGGAGGGCUCUGCGUUUAACAAGCCAUGUGAAAACCUUGCUGACCCAGCCAGGUAGCAGCAAUGGGAAACGUGAGGGCAUUCCCAGCCUGCUGCUGCCAGCCAUCAUGCUCAAGCCGCCUGUGCUGCAGUCCCACUUCCUGUGAGUCAAGUGACACGGCUUUCGGGAAUACCACCUGCCCCCAGCUGUUCAGCAUGGGGGUCAGGGGAGAAAGGAAAUGGUCUUAUACCUGACCUGGGAGACAGCUCUGUGAGCCAUGAUACACACUGAGAGCAUUAACAGGUAUGCAGACAGCCCUCUGGACACCCUCUGAAGGCUUCCGGGCUUGUGCUGAGCUCAGAGGAAGAGGAAGAGUAGGGCAGAGAGCACCAAAAAUCUUCUGAAGUGGUUUUCAAAAGUGCUGCCCAGGUAUGUGAACAUCUCUACACAGGCCAUGGCUGAGUCAAUGUUUUCUGUAAACUGAAAAGACAAAGAAGGGAUGUCCUUUGGCUUUCUGGAACCUGGGGCCUGGCUUGGAGCAGUGUUCAACCAGAUACGGUGGAAAGCUGGGUUCACACUGCAUGCCAGUGGGCACCUCCCCGCUCCAUGGAAUGUCUGUGGCUACUUUUAUCUUCGGAGAAGAACAGGUGGGAAAAUAAAGUUAAAGGCACUUUUUACCCUGCUCUCCAGGAAUGAGCUCCAGGCCUCAGGCCUGUGAUUGUGGGAACACACGUUUCCACCACAGGGAAGGAGAAAAUCAGCCUGAUAUGCACAUGACAUGCCAUGACAUCCUAAGCGUGAUUAGGUCCCUGACUGCAUGGGAAAUGAAACCACAGGCAUUUAAUAGAGGACCUGCAGCCAGGCCAUCCAGUCCCUUCUGCAGCACACAAGCUGGGCACCCACUUCUCUGUCCUCAGGCACACCUGUUGUGAGCAUUGAAGAGCACCGAGGAGCACUGAGGAGCACUGGGGAACCCUGCAGAAUGAGAAACUCAACUGCUCUCCCAGGGAGGAUUUGCAUGGGCAGCAGGCGCUGGUCCGUAACAACCAAAACCCUGGGUUUCCCCAAAGAUUCUAUCCCUGAACAGAGACAACAUGUCCCAGGAGAAAUGGAAGUAUGUGGAGAGAGGAAGAGGAGAAAAACAGAAGUAAUGGAAAGAGUGACAAACAGCUAGUCUUGUUUGCUGGACUGGUUACUACUGAGCUGUUUGCCAUUUGGCCCCAUGUAUUUUUAAAGCAUACAGUUAAGGAGCAUUUAUUAAAAUGUUUUCAAGUUGUCCUUCUAAAGAAGAGACCCUGACAGGCCACUCAGUAUACUGCAAAGGUGGGUUAAAUACUAUUAUCCCUGUGGCGACGAUGGGGAGACAAGAGUAUAAUGGAUUACCUUAAUUUCCCAGAGACAUGCGGUGAAUUCAUUACGGGGAGGAAAAACGGAAAAGAAAAAGACAAUCAGAUUACAGAGUCUUGAAGCUGGGCCGCCUUGCCAAGAAAGCCAACCAGUGUGAGGGAAGGAGAGACAGCCCCAAACCCCCAAGGGUGCUGCUCCAAAAUGCAGUCCUUAGAAACACAGCCGCCUUUGGGAAGCUCCAAAUUCAAAUGUGCAACAGAAACAAAUUCACCACACACAAACCGUGAGGCCUCAGCAAUCUGCCUCGCACCGCAGAUUGGGAGAGGAAGAAAAAAUAAUCCAGAUCCUAAUUUAGUUCAGGGGCUUGUUUUCUUACACUGACAAAUCCUUCUAAAAAUGAUUUCCUGAUUAGAGUCAAACGGCCGAGGCCAAAACUCUCGGAGAUUGUGUUGCCGUCAGCAUAUUAAUGGUGUUCCUUAGCAACUCUCUCUCUCCUCCACUUUUAGAAGAAACAACACCUCUGCCAGGACCACAAAGCUGGAGAAGCCUCAGCACCUCUGAUGAUUCAUGGGCUUGGAGGAAGGUGCGGACCUGCCAGGCAGCAUGAGGGGGGAGCCUUGCUGGUGGCAGGACAUGGGCAGCGAAUGCCAAGUCAGGUGCAGGGCCGUGCAGGGAGACGGUGGGAGAGGACGGGCGAGGGGCCACCUCUCUCUGUGUCUCUCCAGGAUUGCAACUGUCAUCUGCAAUUUACCAACUUGAAAUACAAAUCCUGCUCCUCACAAAGAGCUGAUGUCUUUUUCUCACCAGACUUAAAGGUGCAAAAAACGCUAAAGAGAGGUCAAGUCAGUGAUGACUAAGGAAAGGGGUUUCCUGAACUGAUUCUGUUUUUAUAAUAAAUUCUGGAAUUUUCAGAAUCGCCUUGGAAGGAAAUGAAAGUCAAGACUUCAUUCAUCCAUCGAUUAAACAUUUAUUAUGCAUCAACAGUAUGCCACGUGUUAUCCUUUGUGCACUAUCAGUGAGCAGUGAGCACUACCGGUGAGCCCAAACGCUGGAGGGAUCAUCAACUCCAACAAUCUCAUUUUCUAGAUGAGCAAACUGAGGCCUCGUGGGGUCAGCCUCCCUGAGACAUGUGUGAUUUAUUGACAGAUCUAGAGCAUGAAUCCAAGUAUUUCCACCAUGACUACUAAUUCUCAGACCAGAUGCUUCUAAACCGGACUUGGAUAGUCUCACUUUGAGAAGGGGAGAAGUGAAAUUCAAUUUGCCAAUAUUCCCAUCCUUGGAGGAAGUGAUAUUCAUCAUAAGCCAAAACAUAUUGGCCUCCAGUGGAUUGGAUGAUGCUGACCCACACUGGUGAGGCUCCAGAAUGAAAUGAUCUCCUCUGCACUACGGGAAGAAGAAGAAUGCCAACCUCACAGAGUUGUGUGUCACUUCAGCAGCACAAGAGAGCCGAAGCAAUUAGCAUAUCUCUGGCACACAGUGAGCACUUAGUAGCUGGUGCCUAUCACUUCUGUUACAAGGAUCACAGACUGUGGGGAUGGAAGCACUGGUGACAGCAACAUGAGGAAGAAUUUCCUAGAAGUAUUGAGGGCUGCUCACUCAUGGAAGCUACUACAUGGGCAGUAAGCCCUGCCCAGGGGCUGGCUGGUCAUCUCUCGGUCAAGAAUGUCAGGAAAAGUCCUGUACCAGGUGAUAGUUGGUUGAUAGCACCAGUUCAUUAAAAAUCCACAGUUCUGGGCAAAUCCAGCCUUCUUUUUAACAAUUAUGGGAAGGCCCAGAAAUUUGUGUUUUAAUAAGCAUUUCAAGUGAUUUUUAUGUAGCUGAUCAAACAGGGUUCUGAUUACCUAAGUUGGAGAACCACCUGUAUAAAUAAAGUUUAUGGUCCCUUCCAAAUUCUGGGGCUCUAGGCAUCCUUCACCCAUCCAGAACAGUGUCAUAGAAAAUAAUACAAGUUGAUAAAUUCAGAAGGAUUGGG
Acinonyx jubatus (cheetah) is the source of this 5585-nucleotide long non-coding RNA. RefSeq lists it as uncharacterized. The record is from RefSeq and is a predicted model, not a curated record. NCBI's taxonomy places the organism in Eukaryota, Metazoa, Chordata, Mammalia, Carnivora, Felidae. The transcript is spliced from 5 exons.